This 774-nucleotide ribosomal RNA is filed under the name uncultured Neocallimastigales. RNAcentral describes it as "partial large subunit ribosomal RNA". It matches the Rfam family "Eukaryotic large subunit ribosomal RNA", at positions 24 to 644 of the family's 3401-position model. Lineage: Eukaryota; Fungi; Neocallimastigomycota; Neocallimastigomycetes; Neocallimastigales. The record is from RNAcentral.
UAUCUCUGUAGAGUCUGCAUAUCAAUAAGCGGAGGAAAAGAAACUAACAAGGAUUCCCUUAGUAACGGCGAGUGAAGCGGGAAGAGCUCAAAUUUGAAAUCUUCAAGGUUCUACCUUGACGAAUUGUAGUUUAUAGAAGUGUUUUCUGUUAGUGGAGUGGCAAAAGUUCUUUGGAAUAGGACAUCAUAGAGGGUGAGAAUCCCGUAUUUGGUCAUUCCUCCUAGCGUUGUGAUACACUUUCAACGAGUCGGAUUGUUUGGGAAUGCAGCCCAAAAUGGGUGGUAAAUUUCAUCUAAAGCUAAAUAUUGGCGAGAGACCGAUAGCGAACAAGUACCGUGAGGGAAAGAUGAAAAGAACUUUGAAAAGAGAGUUAAACAGUACGUGAAAUUGUCAAAAGGGAAGCGUUUGACACCAGUGUUGUUUUUCCGAAAAUCAAUUACGAAUGGCUUGAUUUUGUGUUGUAUUGACCUUAUCAGCUUUCUUCACUUUUUUCGAGUCUUUCUUAAUGCACUUUUUGGUUAACAAGUCAACAUCAAUUUCUUUUGUUGUAAAAGAGUAUUCGGAAGGUGGCUUUCUUUUCGGAGAAAGUGUUUAUAGCCCUAUACUUCUACAAUCGGAGAGAUUGAGGUCUGCAGCGUAGAUCCUUCGGGGUUAGAUACACUUGUGCUAAGUUGUAGCUUUUCAUAGACAACUUGUUGACUAUGUUUAGUCAUGCGGCUUACUCGCUUGUGCUAUUUUACCUACGCUUAGGAUGUUGACUGAUAUGUAGUCGUA